ACAAUCUCAUAGGAAAGAAAGGCAAAAUUAGACUAAAAUUUUAUAUCCACGUUAUGAAAACAAUCUAAUCGCGCGAAUUAUAUUAGUGACAAGUUAUCACAAAUAGGAUAAUAUUGAAAAUUUAAGAAGAUAAUUCGUAAAUUUGGUAUUCAAACUUGAUGAAAUUUUUAGCCAACAAUUUAAAAAAAAAAAAAAAAUGUUACGCCAACACAGAGAAUGUGGUGGUGUGUGGUCGAGCAGUGUCACUGUGUUUACGCGCUUUAUCCCCGCCCUACUAUCCGUUAAUAUUGUCAAUAAGGGCUGCUCUUCGCUCCAAAAAUAAAUAAAUAAAAAUUAAAAAAAUUAACCAACAGGUCCAAAAGUUUGCUCAGAAUUGAUCAUAAUUGCAUACAAUCUCUUUGUCUCCCACCAACAUUCAGGUCGAAAAUCAUGGAGAAUCAACAGUUUGGAGAUGACAGCAACAGUGGAUCUAAACUAAUCAACAGCUCGGAAGAUGAACCAACGCUAGUUUCUCCUUUGUUAAAGAAGCAACUGGAGGUAUUUGUGAUCCAAACGUUCCACCAAGUUAUAAAGCCAAUUUUCGGGCCUUUGAUCCGUCCAGUUGUGAAAGAGGAAAUUGACUCAACACUAGAAACUAUUUUGUCUAGAAUGGACCGGAACUCCAGGAGUGAGACACAUCCGUCUGAGUCAAGAAUCUUACAACUACGUUUCUUAAUCCAACCCUCUCUUAAAAUACUGACUGGAGACCAAAUUGAAGGAGAAGAGAGUACCCCCAUCAAAGUAGCUUUAAUUGAUGGUUCUACUGAGGAAACUGUUAAAUGGGGUCCUGAAUCCUCUGCAAAGGUGGAAAUAGUUGCUCUUAAAGGAGAUUUUAAUGAUGUUGAAGGACAUGAUUGGACAACUGAAGAGUUUAACCAAAAGGUUGUUAGAGAAAGAGAAGGUAAAAAAUCCAUUCUUACUGGAGAUGCAUAUUUGAACUUGGAGGAAGGCCUUGGUACUUUAGGCAUUAUUCAUUUUACACAUAAUUCAAAUUGGAUGAAGAAGACUAUAUUGAGGCUUGGGGCAAGAGUGAUGGAUAGUUUCAGUUGCACUAGAGUAAGAGAAGCGAUAUCAGAACCCUUCACACUUGAGGAUUGCCGCAACUCACUGUACAAGAAGCACUAUCCUCCACAUCUUUCUGAUGAAGUGUGGAGAUUAGAUAAUAUUGCCAACGGUGGCGCUUUCCAUAAAAGGUUAAGCAGGGAAAACAUUACCAAUGUGAAGGAAUUUCUGACUCUGUCGUUUAUAAACCUUCAAAGACUCCAUGAUAUCAUUGGUACAGGAUCCAAGAGUCAGAUCAUGAUAAAUCAUGCUCGGACAUGUAUACUUGAUAAAAAAGUAUACUUGUACCCUUCCAGUUCGCAACAAAAAAAUGGGGUGGUUUUUAGUGUUGUGGGACAAUUGAUGGGGCGACUCUUGGAGUGCCAGUUUGUUCCUUUUGAUACGCUUUCUAAAACCGAAAAGGCUGAUGCUCACAAGUUGGUUGUUUCUGCAUUUGAACACUGGGAGGCUGUUGUUGCUUUUGAUGAUAUACCUUCUCUCAUGCAUGCUUGUUCUCAAACUCACCCCUCAAACUCACCCAGACUGGAGAAUCCUAGUGGCCAUAACGCCGGGACUGGUCACGCGAUCAAUGUAAACAAUGAUAUGCAGCCAAGUACCUCCAUCCAUUACAGUGAGGAUAUGAGUAAUAUGGAUGUUUGUGGCUACACUAUUGACAAUAUGGAGUUAUUGCAUACAAGUGAUCCAGGAGAAGUCCCCAGCUCUCUGAGCUUCGAUCCAGAAUCCAUGCUUCAAGAUUUUGAUGCCUUCGUUGAUUUUUCGUUUCGCAAUACUGAUUAUAACCCUAAACAGGGGAGCCUGACUGUGGAAUUAGCUGCUGCUGAACAAAGUGCUACCAGUAGUUCCCGGUUAGUCUGUGCUCAGGCCCGAGUUAGAUAGGGAAAGCUGUGCAGCGUGCUGAAAUGGGCCACAAUCAGAAGAGUUGUUAGAAGCAAUCAUGUCCAGAAAAGGCAGAGAUGCUAUUGAUGGGCCAUGCAGAAAAUGAUGCUUCAACUUCAAUAUGUAUAUAGAGAACUUGUAGGUGCUGCCCAUUGAAGAUUGUGUGCAGAUGUACAGAGAGACGAGCUGGCUUAUUUUUAAGAUUCGUAUACAGCAGAGUUUGCGAAGAGAUUAGAAGAAGUUGAUUUGAAAUGGAAAUCCAAGGACGUUGUUACAGUUCUGUGACUUGAAGCAAGUGAUGUGAGUUCAUUUCGUUGUGCAGAUUUCGUCAUGAAGAAGUUACUUAUGCAGGUUUUCUUUCUUCAAAAAAGAAGAGCCUUUUCUUUGAGACAUGGAUCAUAUGCCAAAGUUAGUUAUAUCCAAUGAGGCAAGUGAGAGCAACAACGGCACUUGCCAAACAGCAUGAGCGUAAUCCAUUAUUAAGAGAAGUGGAACAGAGAUUGGAAGGAAAUGGAAGAUGAGGAGGGUGCAAAUGACAUGAUUAUUUAGUAUUAUUAUCUUGAAAUUUCAGUCCUACUCUGGAGCUCUAACAAGCUCAUUUAUAAUUUGUCCCUGGUUCUCAAACACAGUUAAUCUUUUUUAACUCUUCUUUCUUAAAAUGCUCUCUAUGUAUCUUGAAGGCCUGGAGCAUGGUAUAUGGAACGAUAUAUCAAAUGUAGGUCUGUAGUUGUUUAAUUCCUGUAUCUCUCUCUUAUUAGAAUGAAAUAUUAAGAAAAUAAAAUUAAUGCUUUAGAAGGGGACAUGCACUUUUGCCCCUAUGGACUUUGUACAGGAAGCGAUGAUGUACCACUAGGUUAAGCGUUGGUGGUCACCAUUAUACAUAAUUAAAGAAGAAAAAAAUUCAGUUCUAGAAAAAUUUAAAGAUUUUUUUUAUUUUUAUUUUUUUUAUAUGGAAAAAUAUACAAGAAUAAAUAAACAAUAAAAACAAUUUUUUGAGGGGGGUGUGGGGAAAAAAAAUCUAAAAGAUAAUAAAAAUUAUGCAAAUAACAAAAUAAAUAACAUAACAUAGCAAUUGGUAAAGAAGCACAUGCUGCGGUGUUGGCAGGGAUUCGGAAGGUAAGUCUUUGAGAUGUCGUUUUUAAACCGCACUCUUGACUUGAAUAGAGUGUGUUGUGGGGCCGAUACACGUGCUAAGAGAAAAUAAAAUAAAAUAAAAAAAUAAAAAUGCACCAGUAUUAAAAUUAUCAUUGUGUCUAUUUAUUAUUUUAAAUUUCACAAAGAUAUGCUCUAUCUCUAUAGGAUGGGAAGAAGAUAAAAAAGGUUAAAAUAAAAAAUAAAAAAAAUAAAAUAAAGCACCAGUAUUAAAAUUAUCAUUGUGUCUAUUUAUUAUUUUAAAUUGCACAAAGAUAUACUCUAUCUCUAUAGGAUGGGAAGAAGAUAAAAAAGGUAAAAAUAAUAAUAAUAAUAAUAAUAAUAAAAAUAAAAAAAUCCAAUCACUCCAUGAAAGUAUAUAUAAUGGUGCAUCAGUCCAUAGCAAUUUAUUUAUAGCCUUUACGUAUACAUCCGUAAAUUCAUCAACUGUAACUGAUAAGUGCUAAAAUAUGCAUAUUUUAACCCAUAAUCUUGGGUAUAAUAGAACAUUUAUCUAUCUUUUUUUUUUUCCGUUUUAAUCUUAAUUUG
This is an RNA transcript of Cornus florida, 3657 nucleotides long. It is a transcript of the gene named calmodulin-binding protein 60 A-like, with no coding region annotated. The record is from RefSeq and is a predicted model, not a curated record. Lineage: Eukaryota; Viridiplantae; Streptophyta; Magnoliopsida; Cornales; Cornaceae. The transcript is spliced from 9 exons.